Molecule: long non-coding RNA, 207 nt
Filed under: Glycine max (soybean)
Lineage: Eukaryota; Viridiplantae; Streptophyta; Magnoliopsida; Fabales; Fabaceae
Description: long non-coding RNA (GMAX_LNC002004)
Source: RNAcentral
UCCUCUCGUUCUUGCCUUAUCUACUUCUCACUCUUUCACUGCCAUCCUUGCAUUGUCGCGCUGCCGUCAUCUCUCCAUCAUUGUUUCUCGCCUUCUCUCCUUCUUCCUCUUCUCGCACUCUCUAUUUUCAUUCUCUCUUCCAUUGUUCUCGCCAUCACGUUGUCGUUCUCUCCUUCUUCCUCUUUUCGCGCUCUCUAUUUCCGGUCA